GGACUGACUAACCUUGAUUCCAUGUGGCAUUUCCUCUGACUUUCAAGACUCACUGUCCUAUUAUAGAAUCUCAGAUCGGCUCUAUGUUAACAUCAUUCUUGUGGGGACGACUUUUAAGCUGCCUGCCACUAGACCCAGGAGGAAACUCAAAAGAGCAGAGACGUGUAGCUUGUGAUCUUAUGAAGGUAGCCUCCUGAAAGGUCUCCCAAGGCAGACAGCUACAACUCUUGCUGACCAUAGGCUUUGACGGAAGAAAUUUUCACAUACUGAGAUGGCAGCUGGAGAUGCAGACAUCAUGGUCAUAUUCUAGGAUGGCAGCAGGACAAAGGAAACUUUAAAGAAGAUUUCCUAGAGG
This is a long non-coding RNA of Lagenorhynchus albirostris (white-beaked dolphin), 355 nucleotides long. RefSeq lists it as uncharacterized. NCBI's taxonomy places the organism in Eukaryota, Metazoa, Chordata, Mammalia, Artiodactyla, Delphinidae. The record is from RefSeq and is a predicted model, not a curated record. The transcript is spliced from 3 exons.